Arabis alpina (gray rockcress) is the source of this 71-nucleotide non-coding RNA. The record is from Rfam. Lineage: Eukaryota; Viridiplantae; Streptophyta; Magnoliopsida; Brassicales; Brassicaceae.
CAGUUAAGUGUGCUUGGGCGAGAGUAGUACUAGGAUGGGUGACCUCCUGGGAAGUCCUCGUGUUGCACCCC